UACGAAGGGGGCUAGCGUUGCUCGGAAUCACUGGGCGUAAAGCGCACGUAGGCGGAUUGCUAAGUCAGGGGUGAAAUCCUGAAGCUCAACUCCAGAACUGCCUUUGAUACUGGCGAUCUCGAGUCCGGGAGAGGUGAGUGGAACUGCGAGUGUAGAGGUGAAAUUCGUAGAUAUUCGCAAGAACACCAGUGGCGAAGGCGGCUCACUGGCCCGGUACUGACGCUGAGGUGCGAAAGCGUGGGGAGCAAACAGG
This 253-nucleotide ribosomal RNA is filed under the name uncultured bacterium. RNAcentral describes it as "partial 16S ribosomal RNA". It matches the Rfam family "Bacterial small subunit ribosomal RNA", at positions 524 to 776 of the family's 1533-position model. The record is from RNAcentral.